Molecule: ribosomal RNA, 636 nt
Filed under: uncultured bacterium
Lineage: Bacteria
Description: bacterial SSU rRNA
Rfam family: Bacterial small subunit ribosomal RNA
Source: RNAcentral
AUUAGAGUUUGAUCCUGGCUCAGGAUGAACGCUAGCGGGAGGCUUAAUACAUGCAAGUCGAGCGGUAAGGUUUUCGGACCCUAGAGCGGCGAACGGGUGAGUAACGCGUACGAAACCUACCUUUAAGAGAGGGAUAGCCCUGGGAAACUGGGAGUAAUACCUCAUAGUAUUCAUUUACCGCAUGGUUUAUGGAUUAAAGCUACGGCGCUUAAAGAUGGUCGUGCGUCUGAUUAGCUAGUUGGUAGGGUAACGGCCUACCAAGGCUACGAUCAGUAGGGGGCGUGAGAGCGUGGCCCCCCACACGGGUACUGAGACACGGACCCGACUCCUACGGGAGGCAGCAGUAAGGAAUAUUGGGCAAUGGACGCAAGUCUGACCCAGCCAUCCCGCGUGCAGGACGAAUGCCCUAUGGGUUGUAAACUGCUUUUGUUUGGGAAGAAAUGUAUUCUUUUAAGAGUAUUUGACGGUACCAGACGAAUAAGCACCGGCUAACUCCGUGCCAGCAGCCGCGGUAAUACGGAGGGUGCAAGCGUUAUCCGGAAUCACUGGGUUUAAAGGGUGCGUAGGCGGCCAGAUAAGUCAGAGGUGAAAGUUUCCGGCUCAACCGGGAGAUUGCCUUUGAUACUGUUUGGCUUG